Molecule: non-coding RNA, 92 nt
Organism: Cubamyces sp. BRFM 1775
Lineage: Eukaryota; Fungi; Basidiomycota; Agaricomycetes; Polyporales; Polyporaceae
Source: the annotation of a GenBank genome assembly
UCCCUGGUAGUAUAUCGGUUAGUACACGCGCCUGUCAUUCAACGAAGUUGAACUGGCCGCGCGAAAGCGGGGUUCGACUCCCCGCCAGGGAG